Molecule: ribosomal RNA, 910 nt
Filed under: uncultured bacterium
Lineage: Bacteria
Description: bacterial SSU rRNA
Rfam family: Bacterial small subunit ribosomal RNA
Source: RNAcentral
ACGCUGGCGGCGUGCCUAAUACAUGCAAGUAGAACGCUGAAGCUUGGUGCUUGCACCGAGCGGAUGAGUUGCGAACGGGUGAGUAACGCGUAGGUAACCUGCCUCUUAGCGGGGGAUAACUAUUGGAAACGAUAGCUAAUACCGCAUAAAAGUCGAUAUCGCAUGAUAUUGAUUUGAAAGGUACAAUUGCAUCACUAAGAGAUGGACCUGCGUUGUAUUAGCUAGUUGGUGAGGUAACGGCUCACCAAGGCGACGAUACAUAGCCGACCUGAGAGGGUGAUCGGCCACACUGGGACUGAGACACGGCCCAGACUCCUACGGGAGGCAGCAGUAGGGAAUCUUCGGCAAUGGGGGCAACCCUGACCGAGCAACGCCGCGUGAGUGAAGAAGGUUUUCGGAUCGUAAAGCUCUGUUGUAAGAGAAGAACGAGUGUGAGAGUGGAAAGUUCACACUGUGACGGUAACUUACCAGAAAGGGACGGCUAACUACGUGCCAGCAGCCGCGGUAAUACGUAGGUCCCGAGCGUUAUCCGGAUUUAUUGGGCGUAAAGCGAGCGCAGGCGGUUAGAUAAGUCUGAAGUUAAAGGCUGUGGCUUAACCAUAGUACGCUUUGGAAACUGUUUAACUUGAGUGCAGAAGGGGAGAGUGGAAUUCCAUGUGUAGCGGUGAAAUGCGUAGAUAUAUGGAGGAACACCGGUGGCGAAAGCGGCUCUCUGGUCUGUAACUGACGCUGAGGCUCGAAAGCGUGGGGAGCAAACAGGAUUAGAUACCCUGGUAGUCCACGCCGUAAACGAUGAGUGCUAGGUGUUGGGUCCUUUCCGGGACUCAGUGCCGCAGCUAACGCAUUAAGCACUCCGCCUGGGGAGUACGACCGCAAGGUUGAAACUCAAAGGAAUUGACGGGGGCCCGCA